CCCCCCGUGGCGCAGCGGUCAACGCUCUGGACUUUUAAUCCAAGGAACGGGGGUUCGAAUCCCUCCGGGGGGA
RNAcentral lists this transfer RNA (73 nucleotides) under Actinomycetota bacterium. RNAcentral describes it as "Actinobacteria bacterium tRNA-Lys". It matches the Rfam family "tRNA". From Rfam's summary of the family: Transfer RNA (tRNA) molecules are approximately 80 nucleotides in length. Their secondary structure includes four short double-helical elements and three loops (D, anti-codon, and T loops). Lineage: Bacteria; Bacillati; Actinomycetota. The record is from RNAcentral.